Molecule: ribosomal RNA, 253 nt
Filed under: uncultured bacterium
Lineage: Bacteria
Description: partial 16S ribosomal RNA
Rfam family: Bacterial small subunit ribosomal RNA
Source: RNAcentral
UACAUGGGGUGCAAACGUUGCUCGGAAUUAUUGGGCGUAAAGCGCACGUAGGCGGUUCGUUAAGUCGGAUGUGAAAGCCCUCGGCUCAACUGAGGAAGUGCACCCGAAACUGGCGAGCUUGAGUACGAAAGAGGAUCGCGGAAUUCCCAGUGUAGAGGUGAAAUUCGUAGAUAUUGGGAAGAACACCGGUGGCGAAGGCGGCUCACUGGCUCGUUACUGACGCUCAGGCGCGACAGCGUGGGGAUCAAACAGG